RNAcentral lists this long non-coding RNA (1046 nucleotides) under Physcomitrium patens. Its description in RNAcentral is "long non-coding RNA (PPAT_LNC013967)". The record is from RNAcentral. Lineage: Eukaryota; Viridiplantae; Streptophyta; Bryopsida; Funariales; Funariaceae.
AAUUAAAAAUUAGCAAAUAUAAUCAAACAUCAAUCAAAUUCAAUUAAAAUUUCAAAGGAAUUAUAUAAGAAAUAUAAAUAAUUUUUAAAGACCUUGUAAAGAAAUCAUAAAGAAAUAACAUAGAAAUUCAAAAAAUAUAUAUUAAAAAUAGAAUUUUUAAUAAAAUAUUAAAAUAAAAACCUUAAUUAAAUCUUAGUCAAAUCCUUGCUAAAUCCUUAUCAAAUCCUAGUCAAAUCCUAAAUAAUUUCUAAUCAAAUUUUAAAUAAAUCCUUUCCAAAUCCUAAUCAAAUCCUAAUCGAAUCUUAAUCAAAUUCUAAACGAAUCUUCACCAAAUCCUAAUAAAAUUCUAAAUAAAUCUUAGUAAAAUUUUAAAUAAAUCUUAAACAAAUCCUAGAAAAAUUUUAAAUAAUUCCUAACCAAAUAUUAGACAAAUCUUAGUCAAAUCCUGAUCAAAUUCUAAUUGAAUCCUAAUCAAAUCCUAAAUAAAUUUUAAUCAAAUCUUUAAAAAAAACUCUAAAUAAAUUCUAACCAAAUCUUAAAUAAAUACUAAUCAAAUUCUAGUCAAAUCCUAAUCAAACCUUAAACAAAUCUUAAUCAAAUCUUACACAAAUCCUAAUCAAAUUCUAAAUAAAUCUUAAUCUAAUUUUAAAUAAAUCCUAGUCAAAUCCUAGACAAAUCUUAAAUAAGCUAUAAUCAAAUCUUAAUCAAAUCUUAAUCAAAUUUUAAAUAAAUCCCAAUCAAAUCCUAAAUAAAUCCUAGUCAAAUCCUAGAAUCAUCACUGAUGCUUGGUUUUGUACCUCAAGGUCUGAUUUCAACCUUGAUUGAUAACCAAUCUUCUCUGGAUAUUAAUAUUUAUCCUUUUUGAGAUAAAUUUUACUAAAACCAAUUCUUAAUUUCCUCUUACAUAUGCCUAUAGCUUUUAUUUUUUUAAUCUACAUUAGUUUGCCUUAUUUAUGGUCCUACAAAGUAAGUAGAAGCUACUUUUUUAAAAAGGAAAUAUUACUAUUAAAAGUUUUACUAUCUUCUUAUCUUUUAUUCAUAUUUUU